CGAAAGCCUGACGGAGCAAGACCGCGUGAGGGACGAAGGCUCUUGGGUUGUAAACCUCUUUUCUCAGGGAAGAAUUAUGACGGUACCUGAGGAAUAGGCAUCGGCUAACUCCGUGCCAGCAGCCGCGGUAAGACGGAGGAUGCAAGCGUUAUCCGGAAUGAUUGGGCGUAAAGCGUUCGCAGGUGGCUAUUCAAGUCGGCUGUCAAAGACCGGGGCUUAACCCCAGAAAGGCAGUGGAAACUGAACGGCUAGAGUGCAGAUCGGGUAGAGGGAAUUCCCAGUGUAGCGGUGAAAUGCGUAGAGAUUGGGAAGAACACCAGUGGCGAAAGCGCUCUGCUGGACUGCAACUGACACUGAGGGACGAAAGCUAGGGGAGCGAAAGGGAUUAGAUACCCCUGUAGUCCUAGCCGUAAACGAUGGAUACUAGGCGUUGCCGGGCUCGACCCCGGCAGUGUCGGAGCUAACGCGUUAAGUAUCCCGCCUGGGAAGUACGCACGCAAGUGUGAAACUCAAAGGAAUUGACGGGGGCCCGCACAAGCGGUGGAGUAUGUGGUUUAAUUCGAUGCAACGCGAAGAACCUUACCAGGGCUUGACAUGUCGCGAAUCCCGGUGAAAGCUGGGAGUGCCUUCGGGAGCGCGAACACAGGUGGUGCAUGGCUGUCGUCAGCUCGUGUCGUGAGAUGUUGGGUUAAGUCCCGCAACGAGCGCAACCCUCGUUUUCAGUUGCCAUCAUUAAGUUGGGAACUCUGAAGAGACUGCCGGUGACAAAUCGGAGGAAGGUGGGGAUGACGUCAAGUCAGCAUGCCCCUUACGUCCUGGGCAACACACGUACUACAAUGCUGCGGACAGAGGGUAGCGAGCCGGUGACGGCAAGCCAAUCCCGUAAACCGUGGCUCAGUUCAGAUCGCAGGCUGCAACUCGCCUGCGUGAAGGCGGAAUCGCUAGUAAUCGCAGGUCAGCAUACUGCGGUGAAUACGUUCCCGGGCCUUGUACACACCGCCCGUCACACCAUGGGAGCUGGUUUGGCCCGAAGUCGUUACUCUAACCGCAAGGGGGAGGACGCCGAAGGCUGGGCUGGUGACUGGGGUGAAGUCGUAACAAGGUAGCCGUACCGGAAGGUGUGGCUGGAUCACCUCCUUUUUAGGGAGACCUGCUUGCUGAUGACCAGACCCUAGAAAUAUUGGUCACAGUGAAGUCAUCCCAAGGUCGAGGGAGGUUUUUGGUAAAAAGGCUUUCAAACUAAUUCCCGGUUCGUUUUAUGGGCUAUUAGCUCAGGUGGUUAGAGCGCACCCCUGAUAAGGGUGAGGUCCCUGGUUCGAGUCCAGGAUGGCCCACCUGGAAGGGAUUGCAGAUUUUGGAUUUUAGAUUGGCUCUCAAAUCUCAAAUCGUGAGGUCGCUGGUUAAAGUCCAGGAUGUCCGACCCGCGAGGGAUUUUAAAUUGUACAUUCAAUCGAAAAUCCAAAAUCCAAAAUCCAAAAUCCACACAGUGGGGGUAUAGCUCAGUUGGUAGAGCGCUGCCUUUGCACGGCAGAAGCCAGCGGUUCGAGUCCGCUUACCUCCACCAAAAAAAGAAAUCUUUUCUUCUUAACAUUUCCCGGAAAGGGUGUGCUAAGAUGAAAGACCGGAGACAAGAAAAAGCCAUCCUGUCACCCGUAAAAAAAUAAAUCUUUCCUCCUUGACAUUUCUCGGAAAGGGUGUGCUAAGAUGAAAGACCGGGGAUAAAAAAUCAUCUUGUCAUUUGAUUGGCAGCCCCCAAAAAAAGUUACGAAAACUUGUUGACAGUCGAAGCGCGACAGUGCUAAGAUAAAAGACCGAAAGGAAAAAAAUACAGAUUUCAGCAACGACCCAAGUAAUUGACUUGAGCGCCUGCUGGAUUCUAUCCAGUCAGAACCUUGAAAACUGCAUAGCAACUUGUCAGGGAGAAGCAAUCAGCUUUUAGCUGAGAGCUAAUCAAUCAGACAUCAAUGUUAAACGUGGUCAAGCUACAAAGAGCUGACGGUGGAU
RNAcentral lists this small RNA (2004 nucleotides) under Oscillatoria princeps NIVA-CYA 132. Its description in RNAcentral is "bacterial SSU rRNA". The stretch from base 1 to 1140 matches the Rfam family "Bacterial small subunit ribosomal RNA", at positions 376 to 1533 of the family's 1533-position model. Lineage: Bacteria; Bacillati; Cyanobacteriota; Cyanophyceae; Oscillatoriales; Oscillatoriaceae. The record is from RNAcentral.